This 253-nucleotide ribosomal RNA is filed under the name uncultured bacterium. RNAcentral describes it as "partial 16S ribosomal RNA". It matches the Rfam family "Bacterial small subunit ribosomal RNA", at positions 524 to 776 of the family's 1533-position model. The record is from RNAcentral.
UACGAAGGGGGCUAGCGUUGCUCGUAAUCACUGGGCGUAAAGCGCACGUAGGCGGGUCGUUAAGUCAGGGGUGAAAUCCUGGAGCUCAACUCCAGAACUGCCCUUGAUACUGGCGAUCUCGAGUUCGGGAGAGGUGAGUGGAACUGCGAGUGUAGAGGUGAAAUUCGUAGAUAUUCGCAAGAACACCAGUGGCGAAGGCGGCUCACUGGCCCGAUACUGACGCUGAGGUGCGAAAGCGUGGGGAGCAAACAGG